This 207-nucleotide ribosomal RNA is filed under the name uncultured bacterium. RNAcentral's name for it is "partial 16S ribosomal RNA". It matches the Rfam family "Bacterial small subunit ribosomal RNA", at positions 125 to 334 of the family's 1533-position model. The record is from RNAcentral.
UCUACCUUGAAGUGGGGAAUAACGAGCCGAAAGGUUCGCUAAUACCGCAUGAGAUCGAGAGAUGAAAGGGCGAUUCGAAAGAAUCGGUCGCUUUAAGCGGAGCCUGCGGUCGAUCAGGUAGUUGGUGAGGUAACGGCUCACCAAGCCUCUGACCGAUAGCUGAUCUGAGAGGAUGACCAGCCACACUGGCACUGAGAGACGGGCCAG